GACGAACGCUGGCGGCGUGCCUAACACAUGCAAGUCGAACGGUAAGGCGCUGCUCUUGUGCGUUGCUCGAGUGGUGAACGCGUGAGAAUAACGCGAGUGUCACCCGCUUGGUUUUGGGGUAUCUUUAGGAGACUCGAUAUAAUACACCGCAUAAGCUCCUGCGGCACAUGGGGUUUAGGAAAGUGUCGUCGGUUCGGGACGGACUCGCGGCUUAUCGGCGUGUUGGUUGGGUAGUGUCUUACUAAGGCUUUGACGGGUAGCCAGCCUGAGAGCGUGACCGGGCCCAGUGGGACUGAGAUGCGGGCAAGACUGCUACGGGGGGCAGCAGUGGGGACUAGUGCACAAUGGGCGGAAGCCGUAUGGAGCAUCGCCGCGUGCGAGAUGACGGCUUUCGGUUUGGAAACCGCGUGCGCCUGUGACGAAGCGUGAGUGACGGUAACGGGUAAAGAAGCACCGGCUAACUACGUG
RNAcentral lists this ribosomal RNA (468 nucleotides) under uncultured bacterium. Its description in RNAcentral is "partial 16S ribosomal RNA". It matches the Rfam family "Bacterial small subunit ribosomal RNA", at positions 28 to 507 of the family's 1533-position model. The record is from RNAcentral.